RNAcentral lists this ribosomal RNA (886 nucleotides) under uncultured archaeon. RNAcentral's name for it is "bacterial SSU rRNA". It matches the Rfam family "Archaeal small subunit ribosomal RNA", at positions 52 to 922 of the family's 1478-position model. The record is from RNAcentral.
UGCGAGUUGAAUGGGAUACCUUAAAGUUCCCAUAGCAAACUGCUCAGUAACACAUGAUCAACUUACCCUAUAGAGAAAAAUAACCUCGGGAAACUGAGGAUAAUGUUUCAUAACUGAAUUGGCUUGGAAAAGUUUUUCAGUGAAAGGGGUAAAAUAAAUGGUUUUUAUCUGCUAUAGGAUAGGAUCGUGUUCAAUUAUGGUUGUUGGUGAGGUAAUGGCUCACCAAGCCGAUAAUCGAUAGGGGCCGUGAGAGCGGGAGCCCCGAGAUGGGUACUGAGACAACGACCCAGGCCUUACGAGGCGCAGCAGGCGCGAAACCUCCGCAAUACACGAAAGUGUGACGGGGUUACCCAAAGUGUUCAAUUUUGAACUGUGGUAGGUGAGUAAUGUUCCCUACUAGAAAGGAGAGGGCAAGGCUGGUGCCAGCCGCCGCGGUAAAACCAGCUCUUCAAGUGGUCGGGAUAAUUAUUGGGCUUAAAGUGUCCGUAGCCGGUUUAGUAAGUUCCUGGUAAAAUCGGGUAGCUUAACUAUCUAUAUGCUAGGAAUACUGCUAUACUAGAGGGCGUGAGAGGUCUGAGGUACUACAGGGGUAGGGGUGAAAUCUUAUAAUCCUUGUAGGACCACCAGUGGCGAAGGCGUCAGACUGGAACGCGCCUGACGGUGAGGGACGAAAGCCAGGGGAGCGAACCGGAUUAGAUACCCGGGUAGCCCUGGCCGUAAACGAUGCAUACUAGGUGAUGGCACGGCCAUGAGCCGUGUCAGUGCCGUAGGGAAACCGUUAAGUGUGCCGCCUGGGAAGUACGGUCGCAAGGCUAAAACUUAAAGGAAUUGGCGGGGGAGCACCACAAGGGGUGAAGCCUGCGGUUCAAUUGGAGUCAACGCCGGA